GACAUGAUAUUCUGUAAUGGCUCCUUGCAGUUGUUGCGGUCCCUGGAGAAACAUAUUCAGAACUCCCUCACUCCUGGAGCACUGCCACUUACUGUACUUGUAUAGCAGUAUACCAUAGUGGCAUUUUCCCUAAAAAUCUUCACCGGCUCACGGACAUCUUAGCACCAAGACUGCUUGAAUUAAAAUCAAUGUACCGUCUUCCCGAGGCAGAGGAAAGCUGUUACUUGCAGGAUGCUGUUGUUCUUCAAUAGAAGCCGAAAACUGUGGAAUAAUUUAAUCCAAAUUGAGAAGGGCAAGAUUCUGAUCCCUUUACUCAUGAUGAAGAGUGCCUUACUCCACACAUAGUUCCAUUGACUUCUGUCAUUAUGCAGAUCUUAUUCAGACCAAACUCCAUACAUUUCAAUGGCAUUUAGCUGAACUAAAGACUGAAUAAAAAUUUUUUAAAAAACUGUAUUUACUUUUAA
This 464-nucleotide long non-coding RNA is filed under the name Chrysemys picta bellii (western painted turtle). Its description in RNAcentral is "lncRNA (ENSCPBG00000008894.1)". Lineage: Eukaryota; Metazoa; Chordata; Testudines; Emydidae. The record is from RNAcentral.